Long non-coding RNA from Acipenser ruthenus (sterlet), 7447 nucleotides. RefSeq lists it as uncharacterized. The transcript is spliced from 3 exons. The record is from RefSeq and is a predicted model, not a curated record. NCBI's taxonomy places the organism in Eukaryota, Metazoa, Chordata, Actinopteri, Acipenseriformes, Acipenseridae.
GAUUGUGAGCGAGAUAGACAAAAAAAAAGUUAAAACUGAAUACUGGAGUCCCUCGUAUACAUUACAUUGGCGACAAGGAUUUUCAAGUCACCCAGCUGAUGUCGAACUGAGAGUUGGUGACAAGACAGAGAUAAGUAGCCAAAACAACGGUUUAAAAAAAAAAAGAUUGGAAAAAAAACAGGGCCUGUGUAGACAAGAUGGCGAAAGCAUUAAGUUUAGCACCCAUAGGGCCUUUUGAUGUCUCGACUGACCCUACUAGUGUAAGGCAAAGAUGGGAAAAGUGGUUAAGCAGUCUCAAGCUUUUUAUUAUUGCUUACGGAUGCGACUCAGAAAAGAGCUCUGUUGUUACAUAUAGGAGGUAGUGACCUACGGGAUGUUUUCGAGACACUAUAAAAUACGGGGGAGGAAAAAGAUUUCGAUAUGGCUGUUACUAGGCUCACAGACUAUUUCAUACCACAAAAGAACAUUCCUUCCGAAAGACAUUUGUUUCGGCAAGCAUGCCAAGAACCGGGUGAUUCAAUUGAUGCGUUUGUAAACAAAUUUAAAAAAUUGAGCAGCUCAUGUGAAUCUGGAGCACUUCGCAAUGAUUUUAUUAGUGAUCAAAUGCACUCAGAAGACGGUUAUUGCAUGAGAGGGACCUGACACUUAAACGUUUGCAAGACAUUGCCAGAGCAAUUGAAGCAGCAGAUCAACAAGCUGCUAAAAUAGAGAACCGGUCUGUUAAUGCAGUAGAAUCAAGGCAGUGAAAGAAUGACUACAAACUGAAAGUAAAACCAGGUGCCGCACACAGCAGCCAGAAUAGAUACAGUAAGGAGAAACGGACAAACACUUGAAGUGAUGUGAGCUGUAACCCUGCGGCAGGAGAGGCCACAUAGGCAAACAAUGUACAGUUACGAAAGGAAAAGAGUGUCGGCAGUGUGGUAAAGAAGGACAUUUUGCAUCAAUGUCCAGGACAAAAACGAGAGCUAAAGUAAAUUUGGUGGCAAAUAAACCAAUGAUGUUCAAACAUUCUCCUGAUUCUGAAGAUGAAUAUGUGUUUAAAGGUCAUUCAAAAUGAUCUAGACAGCAUUCAGAACUGGGCAGACACAUGGCAAAUGACAUUUAAUAGAGAAAAGUGUAAGGUACUGCACGCAGGCAAUAGAAAUGUGCAUUAUAAAUAUCAUAUGGGAGAUACUGAAAUUGAAGAAGGAAUCUAUGAGAAAGACCUAAGAGUUUAUGUUGAUUCAGAAAUGUCUUCAUCUAGACAAUGUGGGAAGCUAUAAAAAAAGGCCAAGAUGCUCGGAUAUAUUGUGAAAAGUGUUGAAUUUCAAUCAAGGGAAGUAAUGUUAAAACUUUACAAUGCAUUAGUAAGACCUCAUCUAGAAUAUUGUGUUAAGUUCUGGUCACCUCGUUACAAAAAGGAUAUUGCUGCUCUAGAAAGAGUGCAAAGAAGAGCGACCAGAAUUAUCCCGGGUUUAAAAGGCAUAUCGUAUGCAGACAGGCUAAAAUAAUUGAAUCUAUUCGGUCUUCAACAAAGAAGACUGUGCAGUGAUUUGAUUCAAGCAUUCAAAAUUCUAAAAGGUAAUGACAAUGUCGACCCAGGGGACUUUUCCGACCUGAUAAAAGAAACAAGGACCAGGGGUCACAAAUGGAGAUUAGAUAAAGGGGCAUUCAGAACAGAAAAUAGGAGGCACUUUUUUACACAGAGAAUUGUGAGGGUCUGGAACCAACUCCCCAGUAAUGUUGUUGAAGCUGACACCCUGGGAUCCUUCAAGAAGCUGCUUGAUGAGAUUCUGGGAUCAAUAAGCUACUAACAACCAAACGAGCAAGAUGGGCCGAAUGGCCUCCUCUCGUUUGUAAACUUUCUUAUGUUCUUAUGUUCUUACAUUGUCCAGUAUGACAGCAGAUGGAGAAAUGCAAAUUCUGAUGAGGGGGAACCUGUCAGGAUGCUCAUUGAUUCAGGGGCCAGCUGCAAUAUAAUUAGUACCACAGUCUGGAGUACUCUCCAAGCAAAAUGCGAUAAGCAGCUUAUACCAACUUCAAAUAAAUUAUAUGUGCAUGGUUCUAAACAACCAUUAGCAGUCACUGGCUCAUUUAAUGCAGCAAUGCAGGCUCCUGGCGUGUCAGAUGUUGCCAAUGCCAACAUUUUGGUUGUAGAAUAAGCACAAGUGCCACUGAUAGGAAAACACACGGCAACGGCGCUAGGCGUUCUACACAUACGACUUAAAGUCAGCGUCAACGCAAUACACCCCACUAAAUCAACUGAUUUCCGCACUCAGCUCCAAGAGAAGUAUAAAGGAUGUUUUGAGGGAUUGGGGAAACUAACAGACGUUCAGUUGUGCAUACAUAUUGACUCCAGUGUCAGUCCUGUGGCGCAGGCUGUUCACCGGUUACACACUUUCAGUUGUGCAUACAUAUUGCCUCUAGUGUCAGCUCUGUGGCGCAGGCUGUUCACCGGUUACCGUUCAGCUUUCGCAAUAAUCGAUCCUGGAAGAGACAAACGCGUGAAUCAGGAUCUCUGCAUCCUUCUAAGAGAGCAUGGGUCGAAUUCUAGAAAUAUUCCUAAACUGAAAAUAGGUUUUUGUAAUCAGAUGGAUGUCAGAGUCAACUUUAAAAGGAAUGCUAACCAUGUUUUUAAAAUCCACUUUCUUACCUCUUAUAAGGACUGGCAAUAUUAUCACCCUAUUUUGGCUCUUUUCUUAUAUUUGUUAACUUCAAAUUUUGAAUAUUCCAUUAUUUUAAAGUCAAUGCUACAAAAGUAAAAGUUGUUGCUGCUGCUUCCUGGUAUGCAAUCACUUCCUUUGCUGCAGCUCAGUUCCACUCCAAAGCUGCAAUCAUGUCACAUGAUGUACUACACAGGAAGUGAUGAGAUACCAGGAAGAACCAGGCAUUUAUUACUUUUCAAAGGGAAUUGGGUUGGUUAUCAUAGGACAACAGGAUUGUGAAUUUCAAUGCAAGUAGAGGUAUUCCACUUGUCAUACUAAUGCAGCAUACAAGAAACUUUUAUCUUUAACAUUUAUACUCGGUUACUUUAUAUUAUAAGUAUAAAUUGCUAAACAGGUAGACAGCAUAUACCCUAAGAAGCUGGAUGGAAGAAAAUCAAUAAUGUUUGUUAAAAAAGAUUUGCAAGGAAACAAACAAAAAUAAAAUAAAUUGUUGAUUGAAUAUUGAAUGGCAUCCUCUCGUUCGUAAAUUUCCUUUUGUUCUUAUGUGCAGUGAAUCAAAGGGGCUGCACAUAUCUGACUGCUCUUUAGAGGUGACUCUCAUUCACUUGUAUUGAAUAUUUCUCCGGUUUAAUGGCUGGUAAGAGAAGAUGUCUACAGAUACAGGCCUAAUCUACAUUAAUGACUUAGAUUCUGGUAUAGUAAGCAAACUUGUUAAAUUUGCAGACGACACAAAAGUAAGAGUGGCAAACACUGUUGCAGCAGCAAAGGUCAUUCAAAAUAAUUUACACAGCAUUCAGAACUUGGCAGGCACAUGACUGUGGUAGUGUGCCCCGCCCCUGUGUGUAUUUUAUGUUUAUAUGUUGCGUGUGGUGUAUUAAUGUUGGUGUAUAUGUGUUGGUGCACAGGAUAUAAUGUGGGGUUAUGUAGCACAAGUGUUAUAAAAUGUAUAUUUGUAUUUAGACACGAGGAUGGCACAAUCACUUCAUGUGCAGAGUAAAAGGGGUAUUUGUAUGGAAGCACAGGAAGUGCACAAAGUAGUUCACGUGCAGAUGUACCGAAAUUCCAAUUGAAUGAUUGAUUAGCAAUCCAAUCUCAGUACAGCUGCAUAAAAGGAUAUUGCUGCUCUAGAAAGAGUGCAAAGAAGAGCGACCAGAAUUAUUCCGGGUUUAAAAGGCAUGCCCGUAUUGGGCUCCCGAGUGGCGCAUCCAGAAAAGGCACUCCACGUGGAGUGCAAGAUGUGCCCUAUAGCCUGGAGAUCGCAGGUUUGAAUCCAAGCUAUGUCAUUGCCGACCAUGACUGGGGGUUCCCAGGGGGGCGGUGCACAAUUGGCCGAGCGCAGCCCAGGUAGGGAGGGCUUAGGUCAGCAGGACAAUCCACAGUUCACCAUGCACCAGCGACCCCUGUGGCUGAUAGGGCGCCUCCGGGUCUGCAGUGGAGCCAUUCAGAUUUCCGUUGUCCUCUGGCACUAUAGGUCUGGUGGCUUCGCUGUGGAUCCGCAGUGCGAAAAAUGACAGCUUGGCAGGAACACGUUUCGGAGGAUGCGUGUUUCAGCCUCCAUUUCCAAACUGGGGAGAAAACUGGGGAAAAAAUCAUUGGCAACGACUAAAUUUAUAUAAAAAAAAGCAUGCCAUAUGCAGACAGGCUAAAAUAAUUGAAUCUAUUCAGUGUUGAACAAAGAAGACUACGCAGCGAUCUGAUUCAAGCAUUCAAAAUUCUAAAAGGUACUGACAAUGUCGACUCAAAGGACUUUUUCGACCUGAAAAAAAGAAACAAGGACCAGGGGUCACAAAUAGAGAUUAGAUAAAGGGGCAUUCAAAACAAAAAAUAGGAGGCACUUUUUUACACAGAGAAUUGUGGGUGUUUGGAACAAACUCCCCAGUAAUGUUGUUGAAGCUGACACCCUGGGAGGCCAAGUUUUUGGGAUGGAACCGCAUAACAGUCUCGCGUUUUGAUUGGUCCUUGUUUGUCGGAGGAAUAUAAUGUCAACUCAAGUGGGAAAGCUUGGAGGCAUUUUAACAUUGUGAUCGGAGAGAGAGAGAGAGAGAUAGAUUAAAAUACAUUUUAAUUGCAAAUAUAUCCUGCCCACUAUUAUAGUUUGCUACAGGAUACAUCAGUUUAUCUCUAAUGUAAUUUAUAGUUUAAUAUGUACACUGCCCUGUUUUCAGGCUAUGUCCCAAAUUCUGGGCCGCUUUGCAUUUCAGAUAAAGUUCAAAUUCCGGUCUGCUCUGCAUUUCCGAAUUCAGCCCAGUUUUUGGGAUGUUCUGCUGUUACAGACGACAGCCGAGUUUCUAGGUCAUGCUCAGUUUACCAUAAAUAUGUACACCAGGGGCAAUAUUACAAAAACAUCCUAAAUGACAUUCUUAUCUUAUCUUCAGAGAUAUAAUGUCCUAACUACAAGUUUAGGAGAGUUGAUAUUACAGAAAAUGCUCUGCAAACUUAUUUUCCUAUCUUAAUUUAAGAUAUAUUAUAGCAUAUUACAGAAUGUUCCUAACUUGGUAAUUUCCUAAGUUUCUUUCCUAACAUUUAGGACUGUAUGGAACCUUUCCUAUCUGUCAGUUAGAAAAUGAAAAUUGUUAGUUUGCAAGAUCUGAACAAACCAUGCAAAAACAAAAAGAGAGAAAACUGUGUACAUGUAUUAUUGUUGUUAUGCUUUAGAUUUUAAGUUUUGUUUUGCACAAAUAUUUCUGGGCAUUUAGGUCUUAUUAUAUACAGCAUAUUCUAUAGUGAACCACAAUGAUCCAUUAGUACAUUGUGGGACGAUUGUGUAACUUUAACAGUAAGCUACAUCUAGAUCUAGUCCCACAGCCCGUGAGAGAAGGUUGGCGUUAGACACGCUCAGAAGUUAACUGAUGGUGAUUAUGAUAAUUAUGAUAAUUGAUAUUUGACUCUUUACUGAGGAAAAAUAUAUAAAGUAGUGUUGAUUCUAAUGUGUUAUUGUACACAGUGAGGCGCUCCAUUGAACUAUAACCAGUGGCUCAUAUGUAAUGUAACUCAAAAAAUACUUGUUUGGACUUUUAAUGUACAUAAUUAUAUUACACACUUUCUUUCACACUGGAACACGAACAUCACAGUACUUUUGUUAUUUUUAGCUUUACUUUAGCCUGUGAGAUAUUGUUGUGUGUCUGGCAUCCCUAAUUAAUAUAAAAUGGUGUUUAUGACUGAAAUUGAAGUAUUGCUUCGUUAUUUUUGUUAAAUACCGGUAUUUAUUUAUUGUUGUUAACUAGAUUUUAUUGUAGAUUUUUCUGCGAUCAAAACCUUAUUCUCUUCCCGAGUAAAAUUUAGAGCCUUGCGUUUCUGAAUCGAGUUUAGACACCAUAACUUAAAAACAUGUAUAUUUUGGAGACAGUUACCUGAAGCUCGAGCUGUAACCUGCUCUAUUGGCGUUAGAUAGGAUUUCCUAACUAAUGUUAGGAUAGGAUGAGACACUUAGGAAAUUGCAGACACUGCUGACUUAGGACAUGCUUUUGUAAUACCAAGUUAGGAAAAAUCCUAUCCUAGCCAUGAAAGAUAAGAUAGGAAAGCAAGUUAGGAAAUUGUUCUGUAAUGUGGCCCCAGAACUGGAUUGUGAAUUCAUUUAAGAGUAACCCUUAAUACAUGAAUCAAAGUUAAUGUAUUUUUUUACUCUCCCCAGAAAACAUUCUUUUUUAUGGAGAAAGAGAAAUCAAAUUUAAAUGUUUUCUUUAAAAAAAGCAUAUUUUUUAUUACAAUGAAGAAACUACAUUGCACUGAAAUAGAUACAUACACAUUCAUUAAACAGGCAUUUUCCUUUACGAAAGGUUAAUAUUAAAACACAUUUUUGAAAAGGAGCAUGGUAUUUAAAAAAAAGGACAUCUAAUUUCCUUAUGUAAUGUCCAUCAAUAUAAAGUUAUGCGUAGGGGGUUAUCAGACUUUAAAAUGAAUAGAAUGGCGGUGUUCAACAUAUUUUAUUCACCUAUCACACACACACACAAAAAUACAAUAAAGGCCUUGUGGCAGAGACAGAAUGAUUCUUGGUGAUAAAUCUCUCUCCCGACCUGUGAGGGUGUUGUAUAAAGGGAAUAGAGUGCUCUGGACUGGAUGGCCUCACAAUUAAUUCCCAGGGUUAGGUGGAAGUCGGACAUCUAGAAAGGGGGCAGAGCUGUGGCACAUUAAGUCAUCGCCCCAGAGGAAAAACGCGGAUUGGAGGAGAAACGGCUACACUCGCUAACCAAGGGGGCGUGACUGAAGGUACAAAUAGGGGACGUGGCUAGGUGAUCUGUUCCUUUGUUUAUGGUUAAGAGAACCGCUGAAGGACGAGUAUAAAAUAACUGUGAGUGUUUUGUUUGUUUGUAUCGUCUAAUUGUACUGCUUGUUAUUUAUUAGACGGCUAACACGAUCCAGAGCUGUCGCUUAAGGCCAGCACAAACCCGGACAAUACUGCACCAAGAUGGCCCCAGCUAUCCUAUAAUUCACUAUGCUUCCAAAUAUGACCGUGCACUUACACUCUGAAUAUCUUUGGCAGUCAAUCUCGGAUUGUGUGACAGAGAGCGAAGGAAUUCAAGUUGUAAAUCUCCCUCCCAACUAGAAAGAGUGCUGUGUAAGAGGAGGAUUGAGGAGACAGGACGCUGCCGCCACAGAGCCAGCACACACCCCUGAGCACACCCCUCACUGUAGAGCACGGACACACACCACGAUUCCCCGGUUUUGGAGAGCACAAUUUCAUGCACCGGGAUUUUAUUGUAUUGUACCCUUUGUGUUUGGGACUGUAAACCCGCCGUGUACCCCCGAUACCAUCACUGGUAGAAGGGUGGCUUUAUUAUUUUGAUUUUGAAUAAACACUGAUG